Molecule: transfer RNA, 65 nt
Filed under: Megymenum brevicorne
Lineage: Eukaryota; Metazoa; Arthropoda; Insecta; Hemiptera; Dinidoridae
Description: tRNA-Phe
Source: RNAcentral
ACUUAAGUAGCUUAAUCAAAAGCUUGAUAUUGAAGAUAUUAUUAUAGGUUAUUACCUCUUAAGUA